GACGAACGCUGGCGGCGUGCUUUACACAUGCAAGUCGAACGGAAAGGCCCUGCUUUCGUGGGUUGCUCGAGUGGCGAACGUGUGUGUAACACGUGAGUAACCUGCCCUUUACUUUGUGAUACCUUCAGGAAACUGCUGCUAAUACCUGCUAGGUGCUCCUGCUGCCUGGUGGGGGUUGGAACGUUUCGGCGGUUGGGGAUAGACGUGCGGUUUAUGAGCUUGUUGGUGGGGUAGUGGCUUACCAAGGCUUUGACGGCUAGGCGGCCUGAGUGGGUGGCCGGCGACAAGAGGCCUAAGAUACGGACCAGAGUCGUACGGGAGGCAGCAGGGGGGAAUAUUGCACAAUGGGCGGAAGCGUGAGGAAGAAGCGCUGCGGGCGGGAUGACGGCCUGGGAGGUGUAAACCGCUGAGGCCUGUGACGAAGCGUGAGUGACGGUAAUGGGUAAAGAAGCACCGGCUAACUACGUG
RNAcentral lists this ribosomal RNA (468 nucleotides) under uncultured bacterium. RNAcentral's name for it is "partial 16S ribosomal RNA". It matches the Rfam family "Bacterial small subunit ribosomal RNA", at positions 28 to 507 of the family's 1533-position model. The record is from RNAcentral.